This 3055-nucleotide long non-coding RNA is filed under the name Sus scrofa (pig). Its description in RNAcentral is "lncRNA (ENSSSCG00070017717.1)". Lineage: Eukaryota; Metazoa; Chordata; Mammalia; Artiodactyla; Suidae. The record is from RNAcentral.
CUUGAACCUUCCCGCUGCUGUCACCCAGGCAGUAGCCUCUUUGGCGUCUGGUGGCUGGAGGCCUCCCGUGGUCUGGAGGGACCACUUAAGCCCACCUACUCCCGCCUCCACCUGCAGGGUCCUCCCCUCCCCCACCACUCACUGCCCCGCGCAGAGCGUAGAGAGCCACACUGCGCAUGCUCCUCAGGGGAGGGCUGCCUGCAGCGCGACGCGACGCGGGCGGGCGGGUGGUGGGGAUUCCAUUCAAGGGACACCUCGGUAGCAGCCACCUGGCCACGACAGCGUCCGCGUCCCAGACUCUGCCCGACUCCGGGCUCGUCCGAACUCGGGCAUAACCUAGAAAGCCAUCUUCGCAUUCCCAGAAUGACUUCCCCAGCUGAGGAAUUCGGCGUUCAGGGUUGCGGCUUUCUUCUGUGCUUUUAUGAGAGCCCCCGCUCAAGGCAUCUUCUACAAUUUGUUGAGUUGGAAGAGAAACAAGGCAAAUGGCAGGAAAAUCAAAUGAGAUCAUGACUUCACCAGAGCAAAACCGAGAUCCCUCGCCCCCAGUGAAAGCAAACAAAAGCUGGAAGAGAACGAGUUCGACCUGAUCUCCUCCGCCUUCUCCACCCCCAUCUCCAGGCCCAGACCCGGAGACGCCGGGGUUCAGAGGGGAGACUCAGAGUCCCAGAGCGCCCUCCACCCCGAGAAAGACCCAGAGCUGCCCUUGGGAUUCCAGGACAAGGAACCAGAGGAGUGUCCUCUAAGGAGGCUGCUGGGCGGGAUCACGAUAAGCGUCCAGGGACCGUGCCCUCCAGCUCCGCUGCUCCACCCAUGGCCAUCUGGGACUUGCUGGGACCAACAAAUUGAGGCAGACGUGGUGGCCCUCCAGCUUCGGAACCAUCGUUCACCCUGCAUCUGUCUUUGCUUUCACGUUCUUGGAAUCUCAAGACCUCAGAGGGUGAAGAGGGGGCCAGCCUCCUAGAAGAUGGACGGGAGCCAUGGCACCUGAGCCGGAGCCAGACUGCUGCUGGCCACGCGAGGGCAGCCAUCUGGACCCUCCAGCCCUCGUCGAGUGGUCAGGUGACCACGGUCACACGCAUGAGCCCAGGAGAGGCCAGCAGAACCACCCAGUGUGCCAGUAAGACACGACCAGCUGGCCCUUUCCUGGAGCCAUCAAGGCUUGGGUGGUUUGUUACACAGCAGCUAGAGCUCCAAUCAUUGUUAACACAGUGAAAGCGGAGGCUCGGCCUUGAAACCACAGCCGUAAAGAGGAUUCCAGCAUGACACAGGGAUGACAGCACUUUCUGGAGGCUUUGCCCGAACACCCCUACUGCGUCCUUAGCACAUUCAUUAGGAUUCCGGGAGCCCAACCCUGCUUUGGCUUUUCGCUUGCACGUUAAAUAUUUGACCACCAUUUCCCACCUGAAAGAAAGAGCUACCUUUAGCACUGGGGACACAGAUACAUUUGGCACAAUAAUGUCUUCUAAGAACUCUCAGGACAACAAAGGAGGUAGACAAGAACCUUAUUGUAUUCGCUCAGCAAAUAUCUGUGUCCCAGGCACUAUGCAGAGGGCUGGGAAUACAAUGAUAGGAAAGCCACAAAUCCAGACUCACAGGAUCGGAGCCUGGCCCUGAAGGGGACGCUGCUGAAAAGAAAAUGCAUUAACGGAUAAUGGCAAACAGUGCUAAAUGCUGUGAAGCAGCAGCUCAGAUGGCUCUGGAAGAGAAUUAGUCUGGUGAGAGGAGGCCAGAAAGGUUUUACUGGAGGAAGAGCAUUUCGCACAAAGACUCGAAAGAGCAGAUGAAGUGCCUGGCCAAAGCGGAGGGGAAGAAGGUUCCAGGCCCGAGGGAAUAUGGCGGUGGCCCUCACCAGGAGCAGUUAGGUUAACCUAGAACCCAACUCUAUUGUACCUUUAGACACAGAGUGGCUUUUGCCUGGUUUUACCAUACAUUGAAUUUUCCUGGAAUGCAAGGACCAUGCCAGUUGAGAGAAGGCUGAGGUGGAUUUGCUUGGGGAUUCACACUGGUCACCCUCCUGGAGGGAGAGCACUGGCAGCAACUCCACUCCACGUGCUGGCGGCACAUGAGCGGUCAACACCCCACACCUAGACCUGCCCGCACGUGGAGCGGUCCCUCUCACCUGUUUCUUCCUGUUCUGCUCAAGCACCUGCCUCCUUCAUUGGGACUUGCAGCAUUAUAAUAUAUAUGGUUUUAUUAUACAUUCCACUUAUUCUUCCUUAUUUGAGAGUUUCAGAAUGACAUGUGUAUGUUUUCAAUCCAAUGAGUAGGUAGGUUAUAUUAUUUAUGAGGUUCAUUUUGGGGUAGACAAAGCAGCCCUGGAUCUGAUGAGGUUAAAACCACAGGUUAAGACCUGCCUUUCGCUGUGGGACAGGGAGUUGGGCUGGUGUAAGAACUACCAGGAGGAAGGGGGUUGGAGCCCAGAGACCUGGGAGCAGGGUGGGACCAGAUGAGGCUGGCAGAGGACUGGGGACAUCACAACCCUCGACUCUGCCGGAGGGGAUGCGAAAAGGUACCAUCUGGUGGUACCUCCGAGGUGCAACAUGGAACAUCACCCGAAACAGCCAGUCCGUUCCUAGGCAUAGACCCAAGAGAAGUGGAAACAUGUCCUGAACACAGAUGUUCACAGCAGCACUAUUCGUAUGAGCCCAAAAGAAGAAACAACUAAAAUGCCCAUCAACUAGUGAAUGCAUGAACCAAAGAGUAGGUUCUUCAUAUAAUGGAAUAUUAUUCAGCCACAGAAAGGAAUGAACUACUGAUACAUACUGUGAUAUGGACGAACCGUGAAAACGCUCUGCUGAGUGAAAGAAGCCAGACGCAAAAGGCCACAGAGUAUGCAGUUCAGUUUACAUGAAAUGUCCAGAAGAGGCAAAUCCACAGAAGCAGAAAGAAGAUUUGGGGUUGCCAGAGGCUGGGGCUGAGGAGGUGAUGGAAAGUGACUGACAGCGGGUCUGGAGUUUCCUUGGCGGGCGAUGGAAAUAUUUUGGACUUAAAGAGUGGUGAGAAUGGUGCGACUUUGUUAAUAUUGUAAGUAAAACAACAUCAACAGUGAUAAAGA